Molecule: ribosomal RNA, 253 nt
Filed under: uncultured bacterium
Lineage: Bacteria
Description: partial 16S ribosomal RNA
Rfam family: Bacterial small subunit ribosomal RNA
Source: RNAcentral
UACAGAGGGGGCAAGCGUUAAUCGGAAUUACUGGGCGUAAAGCGUGCGCAGGCGGUUUUGUAAGCCAGAUGUGAAAUCCCCGGGCUCAACCUGGGAAUGGCAUUUGGGACUGCAAGGCUUGAGUGCGGCAGAGGAGACUGGAAUUCCUGGUGUAGCAGUGAAAUGCGUAGAUAUCAGGAGGAAUACCGAUGGCGAAGGCAGGUCUCUGGGCUGACACUGACGCUCAUGCACGAAAGCGUGGGGAGCAAACAGG